GUGCUUGCUCAGGCAGCACAUAUGAUAAAUUGGAAUCGAUACAGAGUAGAUUAGCAUGGCCCCUGCAAAAGGAUGACACGCAAUCCGUGAAGCGUUUCCACAUUUU
This 106-nucleotide small nuclear RNA is filed under the name Sparus aurata (gilthead seabream). Lineage: Eukaryota; Metazoa; Chordata; Actinopteri; Spariformes; Sparidae. The record is from RNAcentral.